Molecule: transfer RNA, 76 nt
Filed under: Magnetococcales bacterium
Lineage: Bacteria; Pseudomonadati; Pseudomonadota; Magnetococcia; Magnetococcales
Description: tRNA-Val
Rfam family: tRNA
About the family: Transfer RNA (tRNA) molecules are approximately 80 nucleotides in length. Their secondary structure includes four short double-helical elements and three loops (D, anti-codon, and T loops). Further hydrogen bonds mediate the characteristic L-shaped molecular structure. tRNAs have two regions of fundamental functional importance: the anti-codon, which is responsible for specific mRNA codon recognition, and the 3' end, to which the tRNAs corresponding amino acid is attached (by aminoacyl-tRNA synthetases). tRNAs cope with the degeneracy of the genetic code in two manners: having more than one tRNA (with a specific anti-codon) for a particular amino acid; and 'wobble' base-pairing, i.e. permitting non-standard base-pairing at the 3rd anti-codon position.
Source: RNAcentral
GGGCGGGUAGCUCAGCCGGGAGAGCAUCGGCCUUACAAGCCGGGGGUCACAGGUUCAAGCCCUGUUCCGCCCACCA